Molecule: ribosomal RNA, 484 nt
Filed under: uncultured Glomeromycotina
Lineage: Eukaryota; Fungi; Glomeromycota
Description: SSU rRNA
Rfam family: Eukaryotic small subunit ribosomal RNA
Source: RNAcentral
AGCGUAUAUUAAAGUUGUUGCAGUUAAAAAGCUCGUAGUUGAAUUUCGGGAUCAAUUAGUCGGUCGUGCCUCUGGUACGUACUGGUUUUAUUGGUUCCUCCCUUCUGACGAAACAUGAUGUCAUUAAUUUGGUGUCGUGGAGAAUCAGGACUGUUACCUUGAAAAAAUUAGAGUGUUUAUAGCAGGCUAACGCUUGAAUACAUUAGCAUGGAAUAAUGAAAUAGGACGUUCGACCCUAUUUUGUUGGUUUCUAGGAUCGACGUAAUGAUUAAUAGGGAUAGUUAGGGGCAUUAGUAUUCAAUUGUCAGAGGUGAAAUUCUUGGAUUUAUUGAAGACUAACUACUGCGAAAGCAUUUGCCAAGGAUGUUUUCAUUAAUCAAGAACGAAAGUUAGGGGAUCGAAGACGAUCAGAUACCGUCGUAGUCUUAACCAUAAACUAUGCCGACUAGGGAUCGGAUGAUGUUAAUUCUUUAAUGACUCAUUC